UAAUACAGAGGAGCCAAGCGUUGUCCGGAUUGACUGGGCGUAAAGCGCACGCAGGCGGGUGCGCGCGUGGGGUGUGAAAUCUGGCCGCUUAACGGCCAGGCGCCAUCCCAUACGGCGCGCCUGGAGUGAUGCAGAGGGCGGUGGAAUUGCCGGUGUAGUGGUGAAAUGCGUAGAGAUCGGCAGGAACACCCAGGGGGAAACCAGCCGCCUGGGCAUCUACUGACGCUGAGGUGCGAGAGCGUGGGGAGCGAACCGGAUUAGAUACCCGGGUAGUCCACGCCGUAAACGAUGGCCACUCGGCCUUUGGUGGCGGAACCUCCGUCGCUGGGGGCCUUAGCAAACGCGGGAAGUGGCCCGCCUGGGAACUACGAGCGCAAGCUUA
RNAcentral lists this ribosomal RNA (382 nucleotides) under uncultured bacterium. Its description in RNAcentral is "bacterial SSU rRNA". It matches the Rfam family "Bacterial small subunit ribosomal RNA", at positions 521 to 896 of the family's 1533-position model. The record is from RNAcentral.